GGGGUGCAGCAGGCGCGAAACCUCUGCAAUAGGCGAAAGCUUGACAGGGUUACUCUGAGUGAUUCCCGCUAAGGGAAUCUUUUGGCAUCUCUAAAAAUGGUGCAGAAUAAGGGGUGGGCAAGUCUGGUGUCAGCCGCCGCGGUAAUACCAGCACCCCGAGUGGUCGGGACGAUUAUUGGGCCUAAAGCAUCCGUAGCCGGUCUUGCAAGUCCUCCGUUAAAUCCAGCUGCUUAACAGAUGGGCUGCGGAGGAUACUACAAGGCUAGGAGGCGGGAGAGGCAAGCGGUACUCAGUGGGUAGGGGUAAAAUCCUCUGAUCCAUUGAAGACCACCAGUGGCGAAGGCGGCUUGCCAGAACGCGCUCGACGGUGAGGGAUGAAAGCUGGGGGAGCAAACCGGAUUAGAUACCCGGGUAGUCCCAGCUGUAAACGAUGCAGACUCGGUGAUGGGCCGGCUUUAUGCCAGCUCAGUGCCGCAGGGAAGCCGUUAAGUCUGCCGCCUGGGGAGUACGGUCGCAAGACUGAAACUUAAAGGAAUUGGCGGGGGAG
This 547-nucleotide ribosomal RNA is filed under the name uncultured crenarchaeote. RNAcentral's name for it is "bacterial SSU rRNA". It matches the Rfam family "Archaeal small subunit ribosomal RNA", at positions 327 to 876 of the family's 1478-position model. The record is from RNAcentral. Lineage: Archaea; Thermoproteati; Thermoproteota.